CCUACGGGAGGCUGCAGUGGGGAAUAUUGGACAAUGGGCGAAAGCCUGAUCCAGCCAUGCCGCGUGUGUGAAGAAGGCCUUCGGGUUGUAAAGCACUUUCAGUGGGGAAGAAAGCCUUGGGGCUAAUACCCUCGAGGAAGGACAUCACCCACAGAAGAAGCACCGGCUAACUCCGUGCCAGCAGCCGCGGUAAUACGGAGGGUGCGAGCGUUAAUCGGAAUUACGGGGCGUAAAGCGCGCGUAGGCGGUCUGAUAAGCCGGUUGUGAAAGCCCCGGGCUCAACCUGGGAACGGCAUCCGGAACUGUCAGGCUAGAGUGCAGGAGAGGAAGGUAGAAUUCCCGGUGUAGCGGUGAAAUGCGUAGAGAUCGGGAGGAAUACCAGUGGCGAAGGCGGUCUUCUGGACUGACACUGACGCUGAGGUGCGAAAGCGUGGGUAGCAAACAGGAUUAGAUACCCGUGUAGUC
Molecule: ribosomal RNA, 465 nt
Filed under: Vreelandella stevensii
Lineage: Bacteria; Pseudomonadati; Pseudomonadota; Gammaproteobacteria; Oceanospirillales; Halomonadaceae
Description: partial 16S ribosomal RNA
Rfam family: Bacterial small subunit ribosomal RNA
Source: RNAcentral